UGGGAAUAUUGCACAAUGGGCGCAAGCCUGAUGCAGCCAUGCCGCGUGUGUGAAGAAGGCCUUCGGGUUGUAAAGCACUUUCAGCGAGGAGGAAGGUGGUGAACUUAAUACGUUCAUCAAUUGACGUUACUCGCAGAAGAAGCACCGGCUAACUCCGUGCCAGCAGCCGCGGUAAUACGGAGGGUGCAAGCGUUAAUCGGAAUUACUGGGCGUAAAGCGCACGCAGGCGGUUUGUUAAGUCAGAUGUGAAAUCCCCGGGCUCAACCUGGGAACUGCAUUUGAAACUGGCAAGCUAGAGUCUCGUAGAGGGGGGUAGAAUUCCAGGUGUAGCGGUGAAAUGCGUAGAGAUCUGGAGGAAUACCGGUGGCGAAGGCGGCCCCCUGGACGAAGACUGACGCUCAGGUGCGAAAAGCGUGGGGAGCAAAACAGGAUUAGAUACCCCUGGUAGUCCACGCUGUAAAACGAUGUCGAUUUUGGAGGUUGUGCCCCUUGAGGCGUGGCUUCCGGAGCUAACGCGUUAAAUCGACCG
This 529-nucleotide ribosomal RNA is filed under the name uncultured bacterium. RNAcentral's name for it is "partial 16S ribosomal RNA". It matches the Rfam family "Bacterial small subunit ribosomal RNA", at positions 356 to 871 of the family's 1533-position model. The record is from RNAcentral.